Molecule: ribosomal RNA, 445 nt
Filed under: uncultured bacterium
Lineage: Bacteria
Description: bacterial SSU rRNA
Rfam family: Bacterial small subunit ribosomal RNA
Source: RNAcentral
AGCGAACGCUGGCGGCAGGCUUAACACAUGCAAGUCGAGCGGGCGUAGCAAUACGUCAGCGGCAGACGGGUGAGUAACGCGUGGGAACAUACCUUUUGGUUCGGAACAACACAGGGAAACUUGUGCUAAUACCGGAUAAGCCCUUACGGGGAAAGAUUUAUCGCCGAAAGAUUGGCCCGCGUCUGAUUAGUCAGUUGGUGAGGUAAUGGCUCACCAAGGCGACGAUCAGUAGCNGGUCUGAGAGGAUGAUCAGCCACAUUGGGACUGAGACACGGCCCAAACUCCUACGGGAGGCAGCAGUGGGGAAUAUUGGACAAUGGGCGCAAGCCUGAUCCAGCCAUGCCGCGUGAGUGAUGAAGGCCCUAGGGUUGUAAGCUCUUUUGUGCGGGAAGAUAAUGACGGUACCGCAAGAAUAAGCCCCGGCUAACUUCGUGCCAGCAGCCGC